Molecule: ribosomal RNA, 468 nt
Filed under: Nygmia javana
Lineage: Eukaryota; Metazoa; Arthropoda; Insecta; Lepidoptera; Erebidae
Description: partial large subunit ribosomal RNA
Source: RNAcentral
UNCCCCCUGAUAAGUAAUUAAAGGGCUGCAGUAUAUUGACUGUACAAAGGUAGCAUAAUCAUUAGUCAUUUAAUUGGUGACUUGUAUGAAAGAUUGGAUGAAAUAUAAACUGUCUUAAUUUUAAAUUUAAAAUUUAAUUUUUUAGUUAAAAAGCUGAGAUAUUUUAAAAAGACGAGAAGACCCUAUAGAGUUUUAUUAGUAUUGAUUUAAUAUUUUGUAAAUUUUUUUAAUAGAUAUUAAUUUUAUAUUAAUUUUAUUGGGGUGAUAGAAAAAUUUAAUAAACUUUUUUUUUUUAUAACAUAAAUAAAUGGAAUUGUUAGUAUAAAUGAUCCAAUAAUAUUGAUUUGAAGAAAAAAUUACCUUAGGGAUAACAGCGUAAUUUUUUUUUUUAGUUCAUAUAAAAAGGAAAGUUUGCGACCUCGAUGUUGGAUUAAGAUAAAAUUUAAAUGUAGAAGUUUAGAGUUUUGA